UGAUGCAGCCAUGCCGCGUGUGUGAAGAAGGCCUUCGGGUUGUAAAGCACUUUCAGUUGUGAGGAAAAGUGAGUAGUUAAUACCUGCUCACCGUGACGUUAACAACAGAAGAAGCACCGGCUAACUCCGUGCCAGCAGCCGCGGUAAUACGGAGGGUGCGAGCGUUAAUCGGAAUUACUGGGCGUAAAGCGCACGCAGGCGGUUUGUUAAGCUAGAUGUGAAAGCCCCGAGCUCAACUUGGGAUGGUCAUUUAGAACUGGCAGACUAGAGUCUUGGAGAGGGGAGUGGAAUUCCAGGUGUAGCGGUGAAAUGCGUAGAUAUCUGGAGGAACAUCAGUGGCGAAGGCGACUCCCUGGCCAAAGACUGACGCUCAUGUGCGAAAGUGUGGGUAGCGAACAGGAUUAGAUACCCUGGUAGUCCACACCGUAAACGCUGUCUACUAGCUGUUUGUGGCUUUAAGCCGUGAGUAGCGAAGCUAACGCGAUAAGUAGACCGCCUGGGGAGUACGGCCGCAAGGUUAAAACUCAAAUGAAUUGACGGGGGCCCGCACAAGCGGUGGAGCAUGUGGUUUAAUUCGAUGCAACGCGAAGAACCUUACCUACACUUGACAUGCAGAGAACUUUCUAGAGAUAGAUUGGUGCCUUCGGGAACUCUGACACAGGUGCUGCAUGGCUGUCGUCAGCUCGUGUCGUGAGAUGUUGGGUUAAGUCCCGCAACGAGCGCAACCCUUGUCCUUAGUUGCCAGCAUUUAGUUGGGCACUCUAAGGAGACUGCCGGUGACAAACCGGAGGAAGGUGGGG
Molecule: ribosomal RNA, 800 nt
Filed under: uncultured Pelagibacterales bacterium
Lineage: Bacteria; Pseudomonadati; Pseudomonadota; Alphaproteobacteria; Candidatus Pelagibacterales
Description: bacterial SSU rRNA
Rfam family: Bacterial small subunit ribosomal RNA
Source: RNAcentral